RNAcentral lists this ribosomal RNA (583 nucleotides) under uncultured bacterium. RNAcentral describes it as "bacterial SSU rRNA". It matches the Rfam family "Bacterial small subunit ribosomal RNA", at positions 102 to 681 of the family's 1533-position model. The record is from RNAcentral.
ACGGGUGAGUAACGUCUGGGAAACUGCCCGAUGGAGGGGGAUAACUACUGGAAACGGUAGCUAAUACCGCAUAACGUCGCAAGACCAAAGUGGGGGACCUUCGGGCCUCACACCAUCGGAUGUGCCCAGAUGGGAUUAGCUAGUAGGUGGGGUAAUGGCUCACCUAGGCGACGAUCCCUAGCUGGUCUGAGAGGAUGACCAGCCACACUGGAGCUGAGACACGGUCCAGACUCCUACGGGAGGCAGCAGUGGGGAAUAUUGCACAAUGGGCGCAAGCCUGAUGCAGCCAUGCCGCGUGUAUGGAGAAGGCCUUCGGGUUGUAAAGUACUUUCAGCGGGGAGGAAGGCGGUGAAGUUAAUAGCUUCACCGAUUGACGUUACCCGCAGAAGAAGCACCGGCUAACUCCGUGCCAGCAGCCGCGGUAAUACGGAGGGUGCAAGCGUUAAUCGGAAUUACUGGGCGUAAAGCGCACGCAGGCGGUCUGUCAAGUCGGAUGUGAAAUCCCCGGGCUUAACCUGGGAACUGCAUUCGAAACUGGCAGGCUGGAGUCUUGUAGAGGGGGGUAGAAUUCCAGGUGUAGCGG